Long non-coding RNA from Neodiprion virginianus, 667 nucleotides. RefSeq lists it as uncharacterized. The record is from RefSeq and is a predicted model, not a curated record. The transcript has 4 exons. NCBI's taxonomy places the organism in Eukaryota, Metazoa, Arthropoda, Insecta, Hymenoptera, Diprionidae.
CGAGGGGGCAGCGAGUAUACGCAAAUCUGCAAAUAUUUUUUGUAAUGCAAUCAGCGUUAGGAAAAGUAAACGCGUGUGAUCGUUUCUUGGCCAGCUCUCCGUCCAACUUGCCACUUUUUCUGGACAAUUGUGCACAGGAGAAGAGAGGAGCCAAACAAACCUACAUCAGCCUUACAACUGAACACAGAGAGCAUGUUGCAACCGAGGGUUCAACGUCUGAAUCGAACUCGUUAACGAGUUGCGUCUUUCAGGACAACAGUUAGGUUUGCAAAUAACAGAACUGAGAGGACAUAGGGUGACGUAGGACGGCUGCAAAGGUUGUUGUCAAUUUUGGCAAACAGCACGGAAUCCUGAUCCUAUUCACCGAUCGAUGCGACGAUAAAUUUUUAUCAAGCGUCACUCACCUGUCCGGCCAAGGGCAAGAAAGAAUUCGGCAUACGGCCAGGGCUGCGGCAGCCAGUAUGCUGGCCGCCAGGGCUGCGUAAACGAUGCAAAGGUGAACCAGCGAGAAGAUGUAAAGAGACUUGUCACACCAGCGGUUCGGCUCAAACAAGUUGCCGCAGAGCAUCUUUGCAGAUAAUUUCGUCCACCGGGGGAGUCGUCCGGUCAAGGAAUUGUUAUCAAUCGAUCUGUCUCACACGCGUGUCCGUGGACUGUAAAGGAGCCA